RNAcentral lists this ribosomal RNA (1235 nucleotides) under metagenome. RNAcentral's name for it is "bacterial LSU rRNA". It matches the Rfam family "Bacterial large subunit ribosomal RNA", at positions 1564 to 2808 of the family's 2925-position model. The record is from RNAcentral.
UGAAUACGAGACGCUAAGGCGUCGAAGUAGUGUAUAUCAGACUUCCAAGAAAAGCUUGCACUGUCAUAGAUAAAAAAUGCCUGUACCAUAACCGACACAGGUGGGUAGGUAGAGUAUACUAAGGGGCGCGAGAUAACUCUCUCUAAGGAACUCGGCAAAAUAACUCCGUAACUUCGGGAGAAGGAGUGCCUUAUUUAUAAGGUUGCAAUAACAAGAUCCAAGCAACUGUUUAUCAAAAACACAGGUCUCCGCUAAGUCGUAAGACGAUGUAUGGGGGCUGACGCCUGCCCAGUGCCAGAAGGUUAAAGAAGUUGGUUAGCAAUUGCGAAGCUGAUAACUGAAGCCCUGGUGAACGGCGGCCGUAACGAUAACGGUCCUAAGGUAGCGAAAUUCCUUGUCGGGUAAGUUCCGACCCGCACGAAAGGCGUAAUGAUUUGGAUACUGUCUCGGAGAGGGGCUCGGUGAAAUAGACUUGUCUGUGAAGAUGCGGACUACCUGCACCAGGACAGAAAGACCCUAUGAAGCUUUACUGUAACUUGAAAUUGAAGUUGGACUUUAUUCGCGCAGCAUAGGUGGGAGGCGUUGAUUAUAAUCUUGCGGGAUUAUUGGAGCCAUCAGUGAGAUACCACUCUUGUAAUGUUAGAUUUCUAACUUUGAAUCAUUAUCUGGUCAAAGAACAGUUUCAGGCGGGCAGUUUGACUGGGGCGGUCGCCUCCUAAAUGGUAACGGAGGCGUACAAAGGUUUCCUCUGAACGGUUAGAAAUCGUAUCUAGAGUGUAAAGGCAUAAGGAAGCUUGACUGUGAGACCUACAAGUCGAGCAGGGACGAAAGUCGGUCUUAGUGAUCUGACGGUACUGAGUGGAAAGGCCGUCACUCAACGGAUAAAAGUUACUCUAAGGAUAACAGGCUGAUCUCCCCCAAGAGUUCACAUCGACGGGGAGGUUUGGCACCUCGAUGUCGGCUCAUCGCAUCCUGGGGCGGUAGUACGUCCCAAGGGUUGGGCUGUUCGCCCAUGAAAGCGGUACGCGAGCUGGGUUCAGAACGUCGUGAGACAGUUCGGCCCAUAUCCGGUGUAGGCGUUAGAAUAUUGAGAGGAGCCUUCUUUAGUACGAGAGGACCGAGAAGGACAUACCUCUGGUGUACCAGUUAUCGUGCCAACGGUAAACGCUGGGUAGCUAUGUAUGGAGUGGAUAACCGCUGAAAGCAUCUAAGUGGGAAGCCCACCUCAAGAUAAG